This is a non-coding RNA of Schistocerca piceifrons (Central American locust), 76 nucleotides long. Lineage: Eukaryota; Metazoa; Arthropoda; Insecta; Orthoptera; Acrididae. The record is from the annotation of a RefSeq genome assembly.
GCCCUCGGUGGCUCAGAUGGAACAGAGCGUCUGCCUCGUAAGCAGGAGACCCCAGGUUCGAGUCCCGGUCGGGGCA